This 427-nucleotide ribosomal RNA is filed under the name uncultured bacterium. RNAcentral describes it as "partial 16S ribosomal RNA". It matches the Rfam family "Bacterial small subunit ribosomal RNA", at positions 354 to 796 of the family's 1533-position model. The record is from RNAcentral.
GUGAGGAAUCUUCCACAAUGGGCGAAAGCCUGAUGGAGCAACGCCGCGUGAAGGAUGAAGGUCUUCGGAUUGUAAACUUCUUUUAUGAGUGAAGAAUAUGACGGUAACUCAUGAAUAAGCACCGGCUAACUACGUGCCAGCAGCCGCGGUCAUACGUAGGGUGCAAGCAUUAUCCGGAGUGACUGGGCGUAAAGAGUUGCGUAGGCGGUUAUGUAAGCGAAUAGUGAAACCUGGUGGCUCAACCACACAGACUAUUAUUCGAACUGCAUAACUCGAGAAUGGUAGAGGUAACUGGAAUUUCUGGUGUAGGAGUGAAAUCCGUAGAUAUAAGAAGGAACACCAAUGGCGUAGGCAGGUUACUGGGCCAUUUCUGACGCUAAGGCACGAAAGCGUGGGGAGCGAACCGGAUUAGAAACCCCAGUAGUCC